Molecule: unclassified non-coding RNA, 341 nt
Filed under: soil metagenome
Description: partial contains 5.8S ribosomal RNA, internal transcribed spacer 2, and large subunit ribosomal RNA
Rfam family: 5.8S ribosomal RNA (bases 1-120)
Source: RNAcentral
GAUGAAGAACGUAGUGAAAUGCGAUAAGUAGUGUGAAUUGCAGAAUUCAGUGAAUCAUCGAAUCUUUGAACGCACAUUGCGCCCUUUGGUAUUCCAAAGGGCAUGCCUGUUCGAGCGUCAUUUGUACCCUCAAGCUUUGCUUGGUGUUGGGCGUCUUGUCUCUAGCUUUGCUGGAGACUCGCCUUAAAGUAAUUGGCAGCCGGCCUACUGGUUUCGGAGCGCAGCACAAGUCGCACUCUCUAUCAGCAAAGGUCUAGCAUCCACUAAGCCUUUUUUUCAACUUUUGACCUCGGAUCAGGUAGGGAUACCCGCUGAACUUAAGCAUAUCAAUAAGCGGAGGA